Molecule: ribosomal RNA, 484 nt
Filed under: uncultured bacterium
Lineage: Bacteria
Description: partial 16S ribosomal RNA
Rfam family: Bacterial small subunit ribosomal RNA
Source: RNAcentral
GACGAACGCUGGCGGCGUGCUUAACACAUGCAAGUCGAACGAUGAAGCCGGAGCUGGAGCUGGUGAAUUAGUGGCGAACGGGUGAGUAAAACGUGAGUAACCUGCACUCGACUAUGGGACAACUGCGGGUAACUGUAGCAAAUACCAGAUACGCCACUAGGAGGCGUCUCCUGGGGGUGGAAAGAAUUUCGGUCACGGAUGGACACGCGGCCUAUCAGCUAGUUGGUGAGGUAAAGGCGCACCAAGGCGACGACGGGUAGCCGGCCUGAGAGGGUGGCCCGCCACACUGGGACUGAGACACGGCCCAUACUCCUACGGGAGGCAGCAGUGGGGAAUAUUGCGCAAUUGGCGCAAGCCUGAUGCAGCAACGCCGCGUGAGGGAUGACGGCCUUCUGGUUGUAAACCUCUGUUAGCAGGGAAGAAGCGAAAGUGACGGUACCUGCAGAAAAAGCGCCGGCUAACUACGUGCCAGCCGCCGCGGUAA